Molecule: ribosomal RNA, 161 nt
Filed under: Centaurea corcubionensis
Lineage: Eukaryota; Viridiplantae; Streptophyta; Magnoliopsida; Asterales; Asteraceae
Description: 5.8S ribosomal RNA
Rfam family: 5.8S ribosomal RNA
About the family: 5.8S ribosomal RNA (5.8S rRNA) is a component of the large subunit of the eukaryotic ribosome.
Source: RNAcentral
UCUCGGCAACGGAUAUCUCGGCUCACGCAUCGAUGAAGAACGUAGCAAAAUGCGAUACUUGGUGUGAAUUGCAGAAUCCCGUGAACCAUCGAGUUUUUGAACGCAAGUUGCGCCCGAAGCCAUUCGGCUGAGGGCACGUCUGCCUGGGCGUCACGCAUCGC